RNAcentral lists this ribosomal RNA (729 nucleotides) under uncultured eukaryote. RNAcentral's name for it is "SSU rRNA". It matches the Rfam family "Eukaryotic small subunit ribosomal RNA", at positions 670 to 1426 of the family's 1831-position model. The record is from RNAcentral.
CGGGUGCACUGAUCCGGCCGGGCCUUUCCCUCUGCGGAACCCCAUGGCCUUCACUGGCUGUGCGGGGGAAGCAGGACUUUUACUGUGAAAAAAUUAGAGUGCUCCAGGCAGGCCUAUGCUCGAAUACAUUAGCAUGGAAUAAUAGAAUAGGACGCGUGGUUCUAUUUUGUUGGUUUCUAGGACCGCCGUAAUGAUUAAUAGGGACAGUCGGGGGCAUCAGUAUUCAAUUGUCAGAGGUGAAAUUCUUGGAUCUAUUGAAGACUAACUACUGCGAAAGCAUUUGCCAAGGAUGUUUUCAUUGAUAAGGAACGAAAGUUAGGGGAUCGAAGACGAUCAGAUACCGUCGUAGUCUUAACUAUAAACUAUGCCGACUAGGGAUCGGACGAUGUUAUUCUUUGACGCGUUCGGCACCUUUCGAGAAAUCAAAGUGCUUGGGCUCCAGGGGGAGUAUGGUCGCAAGGCUGAAACUUAGAGAAAUUGACGGAAGGGCACCACCAGGGGUGGAACCUGCGGCUUAAUUUGACUCAACACGGGGAAACUCACCAGGUCCAGACACAGUGAGGAUUGACAGAUUGAGAGCUCUUUCUUGAUUCUGUGGGUGGUGGUGCAUGGCCGUUCUUAGUUGGUGGAGUGAUUUGUCUGCUUAAUUGCGAUAACGAACGAGACCUUAACCUGCUAAAUAGCCCGUACUGCUCUGGCAGUUCGCCGGCUUCUUAGAGGGACUAUCGG